GGCUUGUCCAAAGGUAGUGAGUUAUCUCAGUAGAUUGUUUAGUCAGUUACAGAUUGAAUACAGAUUGAACUUCUUGAUCUACUCUUUCCUGCUUCUCACUACUGCACUUGAAUAGUCUUAA
This is an unclassified non-coding RNA of Homo sapiens (human), 121 nucleotides long. It matches the Rfam family "Y RNA". From Rfam's summary of the family: Y RNAs are components of the Ro ribonucleoprotein particle (Ro RNP), in association with Ro60 and La proteins. The Y RNAs and Ro60 and La proteins are well conserved, but the function of the Ro RNP is not known. The record is from Ensembl. NCBI's taxonomy places the organism in Eukaryota, Metazoa, Chordata, Mammalia, Primates, Hominidae.